CUGGCUGGCCAGACAGUCGCUGCCCGCAAGGGGAGAGGAAAGUCCGGACUUCAAAGGGUAAGGUGCCAGGUAACGCCUGGGAGGCGAAAGCCUACGGCUAGUGCAGCAGAAAAUAUACCGCCGAUGGCUGCUUGCAGCACAGGUAAGGUUGAAAUGGUGCGGUAAGAGCGCACCGCGC
RNAcentral lists this RNase P RNA (178 nucleotides) under Gammaproteobacteria bacterium. RNAcentral's name for it is "partial RNase P RNA component class A". It matches the Rfam family "Bacterial RNase P class A", at positions 1 to 183 of the family's 367-position model. From Rfam's summary of the family: Ribonuclease P (RNase P) is a ubiquitous endoribonuclease, found in archaea, bacteria and eukarya as well as chloroplasts and mitochondria. The record is from RNAcentral. Lineage: Bacteria; Pseudomonadati; Pseudomonadota; Gammaproteobacteria.